AACGAACGCUGGCGGUAUGCCUAACACAUGCAAGUCGAACGAGACCUUCGGGUCUAGUGGCGCACGGGUGCGUAACGCGUGGGAACCUGCCCUUAGGUUCGGAAUAACUCCCCGAAAGGGGUGCUAAUACCGGAUAAUGUCUUCGGACCAAAGAUUUAUCGCCUUUGGAUGGGCCCGCGUUGGAUUAGCUAGUUGGUAGGGUAAAAGCCUACCAAGGCGACGAUCCAUAGCUGGUCUGAGAGGAUGAUCAGCCACACUGGGACUGAGGCACGGCCCAGACUCCUACGGGAGGCAGCAGUGGGGAAUAUUGGACAAUGGGCGAAAGCCUGAUCCAGCAAUGCCGCGUGAGUGAUGAAGGCCUUAGGGUUGUAAAGCUCUUUUACCCGGGAUGAUAAUGACAGUACCGGGAGAAUAAGCUCCGGCUAACUCCGUG
Molecule: ribosomal RNA, 433 nt
Filed under: uncultured bacterium
Lineage: Bacteria
Description: partial 16S ribosomal RNA
Rfam family: Bacterial small subunit ribosomal RNA
Source: RNAcentral